This 7210-nucleotide long non-coding RNA is filed under the name Amborella trichopoda. RNAcentral describes it as "long non-coding RNA (ATRI_LNC001485)". The record is from RNAcentral. Lineage: Eukaryota; Viridiplantae; Streptophyta; Magnoliopsida; Amborellales; Amborellaceae.
UCGGAACCGGCCAGUGGCCGGUUUUGGUGAUCGACUGGUAUUUAAAUUUUUUUCAAAAAAAUAUACAUAAAUUUCAAAAAAUAAGGGAAUUUUUUUUGUAAUGUAUUUUUUAAUAUUGUUUACAUUAUGGUAAAGAUUAAAAAUUUCUUUCGUCUUUAAUGCUCACUUUAAUUUCAAAAAUUGAUUUUUUUAAAAUUGAUUUUUUCAUUAAUUUUCAAUUUCAUUUGGAUGUGUUUUGUUUUAAUUAUUCUUUAUAUACUUUUAAUAUUUUAGUAGAUUCUUUUUUUGUAUCUUUUUUAUUUUUGCAACACUUUUUUGACCGGUAAGGACUUGUCCAGUUAGAACGGUUGAAUCGGCCGGUUUACUUGUUAGGCCAGAUAAACCGCUUCCGGGCUUAUGUCCGGUUAACCGUUCCGAUUCGAUUUUGGGAAAAAUGGUUUAAACAGACUAUUUAUAUCAUUAUUUGCACCGAUAGCCUUGCACAGAUUACCAUAUGCUUUUUAUUGACUUUUGUUUUGAAUUGGAGCUGUGUUAGGGUCUUUUUGUUUGUUAGGUAGAGUUACCAUGUACUGUGUUUGUAGAAUGGUCAGUUUAUGAUGGGAUUCCCAUCGUGAGUCUUCAACAGCAUCAUCAUAAGCCUCAGUUAUUCUAGCUAUCUUGUCCUCAUGCCUUUCAUUGCCCACUGUUUUACAGGAGGCCUCUGGCUAAGCUUAGCUGACACUGUCCACUCUCUUAAUGGUUAAUAGUGUCCUCUUUUUUGUCUCUAUGCCCCGAAAGCACUGUAUUCAUGGAUUCACUUUAUAACUGUAGGCAUGUACCUUCAGGUACAUAUAUGUAUUCGACUGUAGCCAUGUAAUCGUAGGCACUUACGUUUUAGCUGCACGAGUAUUUUACUGAGUUUAACUACACUUCUAGAACUGUAGUUUUAUACUUCGCUUUUUAUCUAGCCAUGUUUCGAAAUGCUUCUAACACUCGGCAAGUCUGACUCGGAUUCGCGGCCUACCAAGUCCAAAAGCAAGACCAUGGGAACUGGUCAAUUCCUGCUGCUCUCUUAUGUAAUUGUAAAUUAUUUUCUAGGUCUGGUUUGAGUCUCUCUAACUAAUUUGGCCAGUUGAGUUGCGGGCGAGUCGCUUUGCUGAGCCGAAAACAUGGCUUAUAUGUAUGAAUUUCUAGGUGUAGAUCUACAUAUAGUUUCUUUCCCCCAAAACCUUGUACCUGUAGAUGGUCAUACAUGCAUUUUGAUGUAUAUCUCACGGUUAAGGCAAUAUAACCAUCUGUGCUUUUACUUAUUUCCCUUGAGAAUUAUCCAUCCUUGUACUUUUUCUGGCUUUAGAUUCAGCCGAGUUGGAUCGCUGACUUAGGCUUUGGGCCCUAGCGAUUUGAGCCUGAGUCAUUGUUUUCAAACAUUGGGUCUGCAUAUGAAAUUGGAAUCCUGUGAUAAGCAGUCCCGGCUCACUAGUGAGAAAUUCAUUUCCUCCAUUUGGACUGGAGUUUUGAAACGCAGUGAUCUAGAAUCGGGAGCCAUUGUUCUGGAUAGGAUAUGGAUGGGCCAUCUAUGUAUGCAAUUUUUUCUUUCUGGUUAUUUUUAAAUCUAAUAUUCACCAAUUCUGCCGAUACCGAUUACGAGCUGAUCUGGAUUGAUACAGUGAGUGGGUGAUCCAAAAUCCAAUUCUGGGUUUUAAAACGUGAUCUUAACCAUCAUCCAUGGGAAUAUACAAGAAAUAGUUUUGAAUCUAAUGCUUAUUGACGGUCGAGUGCUGAUGAAUUUAUGGUCAGUUCUCAACAUUAUUCAUAAGCUACAAUAAUCGUGGCUUCCCUGUCUUCGUGGUCUGUCUAUUACUACUAAGAGUGGAUAUGUGACAUUGGAGCAUACACUUGCAUGAUGUCUUUUUGUAUCUUUUCGUAGCUGGAAUUGUUUGGGUUGCACAUGUUUUGUUUUGGUUUGGGAUCUAUUUUCUGCAAAAUUUUACCAAAGAUAAUACUUGUUUUAAUCCAAUUUUUUUGUUUCUCUCUUCCACUUUAGAUUCCAAUCUCUCUCCUAUUCUCCUUCAGCAUCAAUAGUUUCAAGUAUUCUCUGUUUUUAUGCCCUCUCUGGGCCUAGCUUCCCCUCUCUCGCAUUUUGUAUUUUUCUAGCCCCAUCUUGCCUUUCUGCUCUCUGGCGUCAGCAGUUCCAAUCAUUCUCUCUUUUAUUUCCUUCAUCUUCUCCCUCUCUGGCCCUAUCUUGCCUCUGUGUGUCACAUUUUUCUCUCUCUAGCCCUAGCUUCCCUCUUUCUCUCACUAGUUCCCCCUCUCUCUAGUCUUAGCCUCCAUCACUCGUGGUUUCUUAUUCCAUGGGGUGAUGAAUCUCUACUUCCUCCUCUCUCUCAUGAUUUCUCAUUCGUUGGAUUAAUGAUUUUAAAAAAUGGAUUAGUAACUUGGAUUGGGCACUUCAAUAACCAUUGGAUCGGUAAAUUGGUGGUUUAGAUAGUUAUUUUAAUGAGUGGAAAAAAUUGUGGCUUGGCAAAAAACAUGUAAAAAAAUAUUCGAUCGGCAAAAAACUGUCUUGAUUGGUGAAUCGACAGUGUGGAUAUUUGUUUUACUGUAAAGAAUUGCAGUUUUUUUUGUUUUGUAGAAUUGUUGGUUCUUUUCUAUAUUCAACCGUUUUUUUAUAUAUACGUAAAAUUAGAACGGGAUGACCGAUUAUCGGGUCGGACUGGACGAUUUCGUAUCAACUUGUUAUUUUUUAAGUCAUUGGUUUGGUUGUAUGGACUCCAACUACCACAUCUCUCUCUUGUCUUGGGUUGGUACAGUCAGAGUUUGAAUCUCAUAUUAGAAAACAUUGUUUGUACCAAAAAACGUCGGGUAAGUACGGAAUUGUUCGGUCUGACUUGAGAAUCGGUCAUUUAUUCUAGUUUUGUGUAUAUAUAGGAAAAUGGUCGAGUCUAGAAGGGAAUUAAUAGUUCUGCAUAACAAAAUAGUGAUUCAACUCUUGAUUCAUUAAUGGUUUUUGGCUGCUACACUAUUUUUUCAUGUAUUUUUUUAUUAGUUACAGUUUUUUUGCCUAGUAAAACAGCUAUCUGGAUCGUUGAAUCACCAAUUUGAAUUGGUUUUUGGUUUGUACACUAUUUUUUUUAUGUAUAUUUUCACCAUUUCAUUGUUUUCCUCUCGCGAAAUGGCUCUAUGGACCGUUGAAUCAUCAAUUUGAACUGGUUUUUAUAGUACCUGAUCCAUUUUUUAAGUAAUUGAUCUAACCCACCGAUUUGGACUAGUGCCCUGGCUAACCGAUCCAUUUUUUAAAUCACUAAUCCCUUCUUUUCUUAGUGAAGCUAGAGUUAGGGUUUGAAUCUUAUGUAUGAAGCUAACCGAUCCAUUUUUUAAAUCACUAAUUCCUUCUUUUUCUAGUGAAGUUAGAGUCGGGGUUUAAAUCUUUUGUCUGAAUUGAGUAUUUUUCAAGAUUGGUUUCAGCUGGUGUGGAAUCUCAGCAUUACCCUAUACCCCAUAUUAAAUGUUCCCCAAGUAGUAACUCCAUUUGUGUUGUUAAUCACUGGGUUUUCUAAACCUCUAAGAUAUGUGAGCCAGGCUGUCCACCAUAGAGUUUGUCGGGUAGUUGUACAGUGACUCUCUCUCUUUCUCUCUCUUCUGAGUGUGCGAUUCCUCUCUCGAAGCUACCAAACGCUGCUGCGAGUUUUGGAACCGCAUGUCCACGUUACCCUUCGUCUUGCGACCGUUUUCCUCUCCUCUCUCUCUCUCUCUCUUCGCUGGCGAUAAAUUCGAGUCUGGAGACUACCCAGAUUCCUAGGAAAAUAGUUUGAGAAAGCAAUUUUUUCGUUGAAAAUUGCGUAAUGCUAGCCACGUAUAUUUGUCGACAUUUGGAAGAGAAAAUUACUGUAAUCCCGUCUUGGAAUUUAUCUAUGGGAGUCGCCCAUUUUUUAAUUUAAGAGACGAGAAUGAUUAAUAUAAGGAGAAAGAGUAUAGAAUGGGAUCAGUUGAUACAACGUGGUUACAUUAAUCUUGAUCAUUGGUUGUGGUUACAUUAAUCUUGAUCAUUGGUUGUGACAUUGGGUGGCCGUAAUUAUUCUAUUGAUCAAGUUUGAACCUUAAAAGAAGUUUUUUUGAAUUAUGUGAUACAUCCAAAUUAUCAAAUUUUUUGUUGUAUACAAUCCCUGUAAGGGAUAGUAUAACGAGACCAUCUAGGUUUGAUAAAUAAUGAAUAUAGAUAAAAUCUGAACUAUCAUAUUUUCAUAGGGUGGUUUAAAAUAUAUAUUUAAUCUGAAUUUUAGUCUUUGUUUAAAAAAUUGGAUUUUUAAUCAAUUUUGGGCAUAUUGGUACUUCUCAACUUGCUAACUAACUUACGGCAGAUUCAAGUCCGGUCUUUAAUUUGGUCAUGUCAUGUUGUUCAUGUUCUCUCUGUAGAUGGUAUUGUCCAUGUUCCUUCUCUCUCUAGAGAGACUACCGAUUCUUUGAUGUUAGAGAUAUGUUGGGCACUCUUUUAAGUGGGGUUGUUUCAUCUAGAUAUUAGGGCUGCCACCGAGCUGGCCUGGGCUCGGUGAAAGUACCAAACUGCUUUGGUCUGGUCCAAAAACCCCACUAGAAAGCCCAUACCGACCGGACCAAGUAUGCCGUAUUAAAACCCGGACUGGCCUGAAAGAAUCUACUGGGCUGGAAUUGGGUCCAGCUGAUUAAGAAGGCUCUUUUUCUUAUUUUUAGUCUUUUCAGACUUUUUUUUUGGUUGUAAGCCAAAAAAACAUAUGCUAAAAUAUCUUUUACUAAAAAAAAAGAAAUGUUAAUAUCUUUUAGAAAAUUUAAUAUUUUAAUAUAAUUUGUGGUAUAUAUAAUAAAAAGAGAUGUUUGUUUUGAAAUUGGUUUGUGGAGGGAAUGGGUUUUUAGAGAGAGAGAUUGGGUUUUUAGAUAGGGAGCAUUGGUUUUGGGUUUUUAGAGAGAAAAUGAGAGAUAGGAUUUCUAGAGUGAAAAUGGAUUUCAAAUUUUUUUAAAAGUAUUUUUACAUCUUUUUAUUUUUAUUUUUAGUUUUUUUUAAUUACUACAAAGAAGAAGAUUUAUUUAUUUUUUAAAAAAUGUGCUUCAAGGCUGGGGUUUUGUUUGGGAUGGGUCUUUAUCUGGCUAGGCCAGAAUAUUUUGGACUUGCAGGCUAGUCUGGCCUGAUGGCAAGUUUUCAGGCUUUUCCUGGUCAUUUCGGGAUGUUCGGUCUGACCAAUAAUGCUGCAUUUAUGUGGCCCAGCUCGACAUGCAACUGACCAGGUUUAAGCCUGAGAGCCGCCAAGAAUCGUGCCCCGGAUCGGAAGCCCAAGGCCCGUCCUUGACCAUUGGCAGCCCUGCUAGAUGUGGACCUCUCUCUUUCUGUCCGAGUCCACAUCCGGUGGUUCCUUUCUCAUUUGCGGUGGGGUUGCUCUCUGUCUGUAUGUUCUCUCUAGAUUUGAUGCAAGAUGGGGUUUCUCUUAGUGAUUUUGGAGUUGUCCGCUAUUUUGGGGUUGUUUUGUCCGUUCACUGUAGAUUUGAAAGUGAGAGGGCUUCGUUUCUUCUGUUCAGUGUUGAUUUGAAAGUGACAGGGCUUCGGUUUUUCUGUUCACUGUUGAUUUGAAAGUGAGAGGGCUUCUCACAUGGUCCCCAGGGGAUCAUUGUGAUUUAAACCCAUUGUCUUUUUGUUGCCAUAUUUGGCUUAUCCAGGCCUGGUCUAUUUACUCAUUUUGUUGUCAUGUCUAAAUGCGGAAAUCAUGGGGACCUGCAUCCUUAGUCUUUAUUUUUCUUGUUCGAUUGAUUUUACAGCUCUUGCUCCCCUGACCACUCUCACCACUUUUUUAUUACUCUCAGCAGCCACUAUAUCCUUGCAAUGAGAGAGAGAGUCAGAUUUAUGCGAGGGUAAAAAGAGAGAGAGGGAGGGAGGGAGGGAGGGAGAGAGCGAUAUCAAGAUUCACAUCUCUUAAACUCUUCUACAUGUAGGAUCUUAAAGAAUCACCAUUAAAUUUGUCACAAAUCUUUAGAAAAGUCAGGUCUCAUGUUUAUGUGAUAAUUUUUUUAGAUAUCUAUAUCAAAUUAAAUUGUGAUCUAUUAGGGUCCUACAUAUAUAGGUACGGGAGGGUUUCACAGGAUCAUUACGGUGAUCUUUUGGGGAUUUACAUAUAUGGGUGUGGGAGGGUCUCACAAGGUCAUUUACCAUAUAGAGUAAUGAUCCUAUGAGACCCUUCCACACCUAUGUGUAGGAUCUCAAAGGAUCGUCAUUAAAUUUGACACAGGUCUUUAGAAAAGGCGUAGGACUUGACUUUUCUAAAUGUGAGUAAUGAUUUUAUGAGACCCUCCCACACCCAUGUGUAUAGGAUCUCAAAUGAUCUCUAUUAAAUUUGGUACAAAUCUUUAGAAAAGUUAUCACAUGGGUGUGGGACUUGAUUUUUCUAGAGAUCUAUGUUAAAUUUAUUGGUCAUCUUUUGGGGUCUUAUAUGUAUGGGUGUGGGAGGCUUUUACAAGGUCAUUUCCCAAUUUCUGUGUAUUACUUUUACCCCAAUUUUUAUAGGUUGGGCCAUUCAAAUAAGGGAUUUGAUCGAUCUGGAUCGGUAUAGUGGGUGGGCGAUUUAAAGCCCAAUUUCAAGAUUUAAAACAUAAUGUAGAACAUAUAAUGUAGUAUUGAUUUUAUGCAAUGGUUGUAUAAUAAUACGAUGCAACAACUUUCAAAUACUAUAUUAUAGCCAUUUGUUUGAUCCAAAUCUUGAAAGAGGGCAUUGAUUUCUUAGCUUUCUCUCUCUCUAACAUUCUUGCUGUGCAACCCUCUUCGUAAGCUCUUGCUUUCUCUUUUAUUCUGGGUGAUAUUUAUCUAAGGCAUCAACUUUCAACGAUCAAAGUAAGGUGCAUGUCAAAACUAUAUUGAAAGUUGCAGUUUUGGUGCUAGAAAGCCUUGCGAUAACACAAACAUCUAUGGAAAAGUUUUACAAAGAGGCUAGUUACUUUUAAUACAAAGAGGUUACAACCAUUCUCGUCCAUCAAAUUGCAAAUCAAAUAGUUGUAAGUGUACUUGUGACUAAACUCAAAGUCCAACAAAAUUUUUUUUGAACUUCGUGACAUAUGCCAAGCCAUCCAAUUGGACAUAUAAUGGUUAUGAUUAAUUGUGACGUCUUUUGUAUGAAAGAUAAAUAGUCUCAUAGUAUACAAUCCCAAAAUCUAUUGACAGCCAAAUUAUAAAAUUUAAAGCGUUAAAGAUAGCGUAGAUCAAGUAGAUCUAUAAAUA